CAGCCGCCACGGUAAUACGAAGGGGGCUAGCGUUGCUCGGAAUUACUGGGCGUAAAGGGCGCGUAGGCGGACAGUUCAGUCGGGGGUGAAAGCCCGGGGCUCAACCUCGGAAUUGCCUUCGAUACUGGCUGUCUUGAGUAUGAGAGAGGUGUGUGGAACUCCGAGUGUAGAGGUGAAAUUCGUAGAUAUUCGCAAGAACACCAGUGGCGAAGGCGGCUUACUGGCUCGAAACUGACGCUGAGGCGCGAAAGCGUGGGGAGCAAACAGGAUUAGAUACCCCAGUAGUCCCUGUCUCUUAUAC
This 301-nucleotide ribosomal RNA is filed under the name uncultured bacterium. Its description in RNAcentral is "partial 16S ribosomal RNA". It matches the Rfam family "Bacterial small subunit ribosomal RNA", at positions 509 to 807 of the family's 1533-position model. The record is from RNAcentral.